UUGGGUAUAAGUGUGCGUAGGUGGUUGUUUAAGUCUGUUGUGAAAGCCCUGGGCUCAACCUGGGAAUUGCAGUGGAUACUGGGCGACUAGAGUGUGGUAGAGGGUAGUGGAAUUCCUGGUGUAGCAGUGAAAUGCGUAGAGAUCAGGAGGAACAUCCAUGGCGAAGGCAGCUACCUGGACCAACACUGACACUGAGGCACGAAAGCGUGGGGAGCAAAACAGGAUUAGAUA
This 231-nucleotide ribosomal RNA is filed under the name uncultured Pseudomonadota bacterium. RNAcentral's name for it is "uncultured proteobacterium partial 16S ribosomal RNA". It matches the Rfam family "Bacterial small subunit ribosomal RNA", at positions 554 to 784 of the family's 1533-position model. Lineage: Bacteria; Pseudomonadati; Pseudomonadota. The record is from RNAcentral.